ACCGACAGCAAUAUGAAGGCCAGGCUGAAGACUUUGCCGGAUUAGCUGAGAGGUGGUGCAUGGCCGUCGUCAGUUCGUACUGUGAAGCAUCCUGUUAAGUCAGGCAACGAGCGAGACCCACGCCCACAGUUGCCAGCGUACUCUCCGGAGUGACGGGUACACUGUGGGGACCGCCGCUGCUAAAGCGGAGGAAGGAAUGGGCAACGGUAGGUCAGUAUGCCCCGAAUAUCCCGGGCUACACGCGAGCUACAAUGGUUGGUACAAUGGGUAUCUACCCCGAAAGGGGACGGGAAUCUCCUAAAACCAAUCUUAGUUCGGAUUGAGGGCUGCAACUCGCCCUCAUGAAGCUGGAAUCCGUAGUAAUCGCGUUUCAACAGAACGCGGUGAAUACGUCCCUGCUCCUUGCACACACCGCCCG
This 418-nucleotide ribosomal RNA is filed under the name uncultured Methanosaeta sp. Its description in RNAcentral is "bacterial SSU rRNA". It matches the Rfam family "Archaeal small subunit ribosomal RNA", at positions 935 to 1352 of the family's 1478-position model. The record is from RNAcentral. Lineage: Archaea; Methanobacteriati; Methanobacteriota; Methanomicrobia; Methanotrichales; Methanotrichaceae.